RNAcentral lists this ribosomal RNA (778 nucleotides) under uncultured Neocallimastigales. Its description in RNAcentral is "partial large subunit ribosomal RNA". It matches the Rfam family "Eukaryotic large subunit ribosomal RNA", at positions 23 to 622 of the family's 3401-position model. The record is from RNAcentral. Lineage: Eukaryota; Fungi; Neocallimastigomycota; Neocallimastigomycetes; Neocallimastigales.
UGAGACUCUGUGCGCGUGCAUAUCAAUAAGCGGAGGAAAAGAAACUAACAAGGAUUCCCCUAGUAACGGCGAGUGAAGCGGGAAGAGCUCAAAUUUGAAAUCUUAAAGGGUUUCCCUUUACGAAUUGUAGUUUAAAGAAGUGUUUUCUGUUGGAGUUUCGGUAAAAGUUCUUUGGAAUAGGACAUCAUAGAGGGUGAGAAUCCCGUAUUUGACCGUUACUUUCCAGCUGUGUGAUACACUUUCAAAGAGUCGGAUUGUUUGGGAAUGCAGUCCAAAAUGGGUGGUAAAUUUCAUCUAAAGCUAAAUAUUGGCGAGAGACCGAUAGCGAACAAGUACCGUGAGGGAAAGAUGAAAAGAACUUUGAAAAGAGAGUUAAACAGUACGUGAAAUUGUCAAAAGGGUAGCGUUUGACACCAGUGUUGUUUAGUUGAAAAUCAAUUAAAUAAUUUUUGAUUUUAAGUAGUAUUGACCUUCAUCAGCUUGCUGCUUUCUUUCUCAGGAAUUAUUGAAUGCACUUUUCAGUUAACAAGUCAACAUCAAUUUCUUUUGUUGUAAAAAGGUAAGAGGAAGGUGGCUUGCGCUUCGGCUCAAGUGUUUAUAGCCUUUUACCCCUGCAAUCGGAGAGAUUGAGGUCUGCAGCGUAGAUCCUUCGGGGUUAGAUACAUUUGUGCUAAGCUAUAGCCUUGUAUAGACAACUUGUUGACUAUGCUCAGUCAUGUAGCUUACUCGCUUAUGCUAUUUUACCUACGCUUAGGAUGUUGAACUCUAUCACACACAG